GACGAACGCUGGCGGCGUGCCUAAUACAUGCAAGUAGAACGCUGAAGGAGGAGCUUGCUUCUCUGGAUGAGUUGCGAACGGGUGAGUAACGCGUAGGUAACCUGCCUGGUAGCGGGGGAUAACUAUUGGAAACGAUAGCUAAUACCGCAUAAGAGUAGAUGUCGCAUGACAUUUGCUUAAAAGGUGCAAUUGCAUCACUACCAGAUGGACCUGCGUUGUAUUAGCUAGUUGGUGAGGUAACGGCUCACCAAGGCAACGAUACAUAGCCGACCUGAGAGGGUGAUCGGCCACACUGGGACUGAGACACGGCCCAGACUCCUACGGGAGGCAGCAGUAGGGAAUCUUCGGCAAUGGACGGAAGUCUGACCGAGCAACGCCGCGUGAGUGAAGAAGGUUUUCGGAUCGUAAAGCUCGGUUGUAAGAGAAGAACGAGUGUGAGAGUGGAAAGUUCACACUGUGACGGUAGCUUACCAGAAAGGGACGGCUAACUACGUG
This 495-nucleotide ribosomal RNA is filed under the name uncultured bacterium. RNAcentral describes it as "partial 16S ribosomal RNA". It matches the Rfam family "Bacterial small subunit ribosomal RNA", at positions 28 to 507 of the family's 1533-position model. The record is from RNAcentral.